GAGAGAGGCUCGUCAGCAAUGAAGACUGCUAAUCUUCACCUCCUUGGUUAGACCCCAAGGCUCACUCG
This 68-nucleotide transfer RNA is filed under the name Lactarius lactarius (false trevally). RNAcentral describes it as "tRNA-Ser". The record is from RNAcentral. Lineage: Eukaryota; Metazoa; Chordata; Actinopteri; Lactariidae.